CAACAAAUGCUGUAAAAAUAGUCAGUUAAUAUGACAAUAAUUCUCUUUCCCUGUCACAAGAAGGUUUCAUGUGUCCCAAGUCAGAACCUCGCACCAUCCAGGAGGCCAAGAAUAUUCCUAGAAAGUGCCAGAAAUGGCAGUCUGCAGUUGGGAAAAGGAAUGUGCAGCUGACGAACCUGAAGAUGCUCUUCUUGCCAACUGGCUCUUUGGAGAAAAGAUUUAAGAAGGAUGUGGGAGUGGACUGUAGAGGAGACAGGAGGAAGGUUGUGAAUGAGAUUUGUCUAGGAACCCGUGGUGGAUAGCUGGGACUAAGGCUGGAGAGGAGAUGUGCAGCAGUGGAGAGUGGUCAAAACACAGCAGGACUCAGUGUUGCACAAGGGGAAGAUAAUUUGUUUCUUUGUAAAUAUUUAUGUAGUAGACAUGAUCUCUGAUAAGCUGUCAUGGGACAGACGUUUGUGUUCCUCUCUGUGUUCAAAUAAAGUUGCUGGAAACUCA
Cygnus olor (mute swan) is the source of this 495-nucleotide long non-coding RNA. RefSeq lists it as uncharacterized. The record is from RefSeq and is a predicted model, not a curated record. NCBI's taxonomy places the organism in Eukaryota, Metazoa, Chordata, Aves, Anseriformes, Anatidae. The transcript is spliced from 2 exons.